GUGCCAGCAGCCGCGGUAAUACAGAGGUCCCAAGCGUUGUUCGGAUUUACUGGGCGUAAAAGGUGCGUAGGAGGCUUGGAAAGUCAGGUGUGAAAUCUCACCGCUUAACGGUGAAAUGGCGCUUGAUACUCCUGAGCUAGAAGAUCGGAGGGGAGAACGGAAUUCCUGGUGUAGCGGUGAAAUGCGUAGAUAUCAGGAGGAACACCAACGGCGAAGGCAGUUCUCUGGACGAUUCUUGACUCUGAGGCACGAAGGCCAGGGGAGCAAACGGGAUUAGAUACCCCGGUAGUCCUGGCAGUAAACGGUGCUCAUUAGGUGUAGGCGGAUUCGACCCCGUCUGUGCCGUAGCUAACGCGUUAAAUGAGCCGCCUGGGGAGUACGGUCGCAAGAUUAAAACUCAAAUGAAUUGACGG
This 413-nucleotide ribosomal RNA is filed under the name uncultured bacterium. RNAcentral describes it as "bacterial SSU rRNA". It matches the Rfam family "Bacterial small subunit ribosomal RNA", at positions 505 to 916 of the family's 1533-position model. The record is from RNAcentral.